UACGUAGGGGCCUAGCGUUGUCCGGAAUUAUUGGGCGUAAAGAGCUCGUAGGCGGUUCGGCAAGUCGGAUGUGAAAUCUCCACGCUUAACGUGGAGGGGCCAUUCGAAACUGCCGUGACUCGAGUCCGGUAGGGGAGUGUGGAAUUCCCGGUGUAGUGGUGAAAUGCGUAGAUAUCGGGAGGAACACCAGUGGCGAAGGCGACUUACUGGACGACUGUUGACGCUGAGGUGCGAAAGCGUGGGGAGCAAACAGG
RNAcentral lists this ribosomal RNA (254 nucleotides) under uncultured bacterium. RNAcentral's name for it is "partial 16S ribosomal RNA". It matches the Rfam family "Bacterial small subunit ribosomal RNA", at positions 524 to 776 of the family's 1533-position model. The record is from RNAcentral.